GUCUCACUCUGUCACCCAGGCUGGAGUGCAGUGGUGUUGAGGUAACAGACUCAUGGGAAAUUGGGGGAAUGAUGAAUUGCCAAGGACGGCUGGGUUAUCCUGAGUUUGGUGGGAGAUUAAAUAAAAAGUUCUCCUGAGACCUCACUUCCUUUUUUUCUUUUUAUUUAGAUGGAGUCUUUCCCUGUCAACCAGGCUGGAGUGCAGUGGC
Sapajus apella (tufted capuchin) is the source of this 208-nucleotide long non-coding RNA. RefSeq lists it as uncharacterized. The record is from RefSeq and is a predicted model, not a curated record. NCBI's taxonomy places the organism in Eukaryota, Metazoa, Chordata, Mammalia, Primates, Cebidae. The transcript is spliced from 3 exons.